This 253-nucleotide ribosomal RNA is filed under the name uncultured bacterium. RNAcentral describes it as "partial 16S ribosomal RNA". It matches the Rfam family "Bacterial small subunit ribosomal RNA", at positions 524 to 776 of the family's 1533-position model. The record is from RNAcentral.
GACGUAGGGAGCGAGCGUUGUCCGGAUUCAUUGGGCGUAAAGAGCGCGCAGGCGGCUUGGUAAGUCGGAUGUGAAAACCCGGAGCUCAACUCCGGGCGUGCAUCCGAUACUGCCCGGCUAGAGGUAGGUAGGGGAGAUCGGAAUUCCUGGUGUAGCGGUGGAAUGCGCAGAUAUCAGGAGGAACACCGGUGGCGAAGGCGGUUCUCUGGGCAUUCCCUGACGCUGAGGAGCGAAAGUGUGGGGAGCGAACAGG